Molecule: non-coding RNA, 678 nt
Organism: Oryctolagus cuniculus (rabbit)
Lineage: Eukaryota; Metazoa; Chordata; Mammalia; Lagomorpha; Leporidae
Source: RefSeq, a predicted model, not a curated record
AUUGCAAUCAUUUUUUUCUUUCCUCCCUGGGGAUCCCGGCCCCUCCUCUGGGGGCUGCCCUGCAGCUGACCUAGAGAUCACCCCCUUCCAGCGUGGACAGCAGCUACUGUACCGCCACCUCCUCCUGCCAAGGCAGAUCGAGCUACAUUUGUGUAGUCUUGGAGGCUGGAAAGUGCUCUAGAAAACACUCUUCAUUUCCAAGUUUCAGACCAACAAAGAGAGGCACAUCGGAGUCUGUAGCAGAGAGAGUAAGCUUCCUGCUAAUGCACACCUUGGGAGGAACACAUGAUGCCUGAAGUAGUCGGGUCCCUGCCACCCAUCAGGAGAUCUAGAUGGAGUUCUUGGCUCUUGGCUUCAGCCUGACUCAGCUCCAGCUGUGCUGGGUAUUCAGGAAGUGAACCAGCAGAUGGUAGGUCUCUCUAUCUCCUUGCCUUUCAAGUGAAUUUAAAUAAAGAAAACGAAGAAAGAAAAUAUGUACUGCUGGGGCUGGUGUUUGACCCAGCAGUUGAGAUGCUUGCAUUCUAUAUUAAAAAAAAAAAAAAGGUCAUGGGUGUAGUGGUGAAAACUGCUUGGGAUGCCUGCCUCCCAUAUUGGAGGCCUGGGUUCAAGCCUAGGCUCCUCUCCCAAUCCCAGCUUCAUGCUAAAUGCACUCUGUCAGGUAGCAGAUGAUUGACUUAA